RNAcentral lists this long non-coding RNA (1566 nucleotides) under Macaca mulatta (Rhesus monkey). RNAcentral's name for it is "lncRNA (ENSMMUG00000063907.1)". Lineage: Eukaryota; Metazoa; Chordata; Mammalia; Primates; Cercopithecidae. The record is from RNAcentral.
CUGACAUUGCUUAUGCUGGAUGGAGCAUGUCUUAGUUUUGAGUGUCUCCAGAGGAGCCUGAGCUGGUGCCUGCAAGUCCAAGUGGGUGAGACUCAGAGGCUGACAGAACACAGCUCUGUCCUCUUGUGGUUCCCAGGGAGUCCCACACCCUCCUCCUGGAAAUCAGAUGCCCAGAAAACUGACUGGAGGAGCCACUGGCAACCAAAUGAGGCAAUGACAUUUUUAAGCAAUUGUCCAGUGGGUUAGGAAAGGUGCACAGCCGUGAGGAGCACGAGGCCAUGGGACUCAGUGACUUGGUCCGAGUAAGGCAAGGCCUGGACUGCAACUCAGGACCUGCUACGAGAGUGGAUUGGUGACCCAGCCCUGCAUUUCCCCUUGCAAGUCUGACUUGAGAACUAAAAAUAAAAUCCUAAGCACCCCAACCAUGGAAAAGACCCCCAUCUUGGCCAAGGGGACCCCAGGAAAACCUUAAAAUUGAGUUCCCAGCCAUGGCAUGCUUCUUUAUACCCCCUCCCUUUUGUGGUUUAGACACAACAACUGAUCAGCAUUAGUGUUAAAAUAGAGAUAAUAAGGUUGGUGGAUGGGCCAGGCACGGUAGCUCAUGCCUGUAAUCCCAGCACUUCGGGAGGCUGAUGGGGGCAGAUCACCUGAGGACAGGAGUUCAAGACCAGCCUGACCAACAGGGUGAAAUCCCAUCUCUACUAAAAAUACAAAUAUUAGCUAGGCAUGGUGGUGGGUGCCUGUAAUCCCAGCUAUUCAGGAGGCUGAGGCAAGAGAAUCGCUUGAACCCGGGAGGUGGAGGUUGCAGUGCGCUGAGAUCAUGCCACUGCACUCCAGCCUGGGUGAUCCAGUGAGACUCCACCUCAAAAGAAAAAAAAAGAAAUACUAGUGGAUGGAUUCUUUGUGUCAAGAUAUCAAAUUGUACACAGAAUCCAAGAUCAUGACAGGCAAAGCCUGUCACACACCCUACACUUAAAAAAUAAACUGUUCUAACUGCCUCGAGAUUUUUUCACUUUUUCUCUAGCAGCUAAAGGCACAGUGGCCUUGAGAUAAACAUUAAACCAGGGGCAGGUCACCCCCUGCCAGACACUGACUCUCUGACCCCCUGCUCCACCAGACCAUGGCUGUGAUUGGACAAGAGACUCAUUUCAGUAAGGUUCUCCUAGUAACAGCCCACUGACCAGGGACUGGUUCUGGUGGUUACAGAGGCUACCUGUGGAGUUGCCUUCCCGUCCCUCCUUCACCUUUGGAUGUACAGGGCCUAAUUGUAAUGCAUUUCGAUGUCUCCAUCCCACAGUGAACGUGCGUUGCAUGUCACAAGCAUGUUUGUUCAGUGCUAUUCAUCAGGACCCCGUUGGUGAAUGCUCAUGGCUCUUCCUGCAGCCGGUUGAAUGUGUGUGUUCAGCCAAUCUCUUCAGCAUGAAGCAUAUGCCCCACCCCACCUGCUCCUUUGAAGUGCCUGCUUUUGAGUCUCUGAUGGAGGCUACAUUUCCCAGCCUGUCAGGAUGGCUACCUUGCAGCCUGUAAACCUUUAUAAGAAAUAAAGUCUCCUUUCUAACUUUAUAC